RNAcentral lists this long non-coding RNA (377 nucleotides) under Mytilus galloprovincialis (Mediterranean mussel). The record is from RNAcentral. Lineage: Eukaryota; Metazoa; Mollusca; Bivalvia; Mytilida; Mytilidae.
UCGUCGUCGUCAGCGUCGCCGAAGACAGAUGUUUUCCGGAUAAUAACUUUUGUUUAAGUAAAUAGAAAUCAAUCAAAUUUUAACACAAGGUUUAUAACCACUAAAGAAAGGUUGGGAUUGAUUUUUGGGGGGGGGGGGGGUUAUGGUCUUAACUGUUUAGGAAUUAGGAGCCAAAAAGGGGGUCGAAAUAAACAUUUUUGUAGUUUCCAGUCAUUAAGUGUAUGAAUCUCUCUGAAAUUAUACCACAAGUUUCCAAACUACAAAAGGGAUGGUUAUGAUUUGCUCGGAGGGGUAGGUGGGGGAGGUGUUAUGGCUCAAACCGUUUAGGAAUUAGAGGCAAAAAAGAGGGAAAAACAAGGGUUUCUUGGUUAAUGGUC